RNAcentral lists this ribosomal RNA (347 nucleotides) under uncultured bacterium. Its description in RNAcentral is "bacterial SSU rRNA". It matches the Rfam family "Bacterial small subunit ribosomal RNA", at positions 917 to 1267 of the family's 1533-position model. The record is from RNAcentral.
GGGCCCGCACAAGCGGUGGAGCAUGUGGUUUAAUUCGAUGAUACGCGAGGAACCUUACCAGGGCUUAAAUGUAAGUUGCAUAAGCUAGAGAUAGCUUUUUCUUCGGACUACUUACAAGGUGCUGCAUGGUUGUCGUCAGCUCGUGCCGUGAGGUGUCAGUUAAGUCCUAUAACGAGCGCAACCCCUGUUGUUAGUUGCCAUCGAGUAAUGUCGGGAACUCUAACAAGACUGCCGGUGCAAACCGCGAGGAAGGUGGGGAUGACGUCAAAUCAUCACGGCCCUUACGUCCUGGGCUACACACGUGCUACAAUGGCCGGUACAGAGAGCAGCCACUACGCGAGUAGGCG